Molecule: unclassified non-coding RNA, 380 nt
Filed under: uncultured Rickettsiales bacterium
Lineage: Bacteria; Pseudomonadati; Pseudomonadota; Alphaproteobacteria; Rickettsiales
Description: contains 16S-23S intergenic spacer region
Source: RNAcentral
UCCGGCUUAUCACCGGCAGUUUCUUCAGAGUGCCCAGCAUUACCUGAUGGCAACAGAAGACGAGGGUUGCGCUCGUUGCGGGACUUAACCCAACAUCUCACGACACGAGCUGACGACAGCCAUGCAGCACCUGUGCUCCUCCCACCCGAAGUGAAGGACCCCUUUUCGGGGGUCCACAGAGGGCAAGUCUAGUCCUGGUAAGGUUCUUCGCGUUGCCUCGAAUUAAACCACAUGUUCCACCGCUUGUGCGGGUCCCCGUCAAUUCCUUUGAGUUUUAAUCUUGCGACCGUACUCCCCAGGCGGGAUGCUUAACGCGUUAGCUACGCCACUGAGAGGUAACCCCCCAACGGCUAGCAUCCAUCGUUUACAGCGUGGACUAC